AGCCCACUCUAUGGAUCAAUGGGCGGACUGGGAAGCCUCUACAGUAUACCCUCCACUGCACCACUGCACCAGGAAACAAGCCAAUAAGAAAAGAUGGGAAAACCCUCACACACUGUACAGAGGAUAUUUGAACGCCCUGGGACCAUGCCUCAGGACUACCUGGCCUGACGACUCCUAGCUGUCCCCAGUCCACCUGGUUGUGCUGGUGCUCCAGUUUGCCUGGUCUGCCUGCAGCUAUGGAACCCUGACCAGUUCACUGAACGUGCUACCUUGUCCCGUACCUGCUGUUUUUGGACUCUAUUUCUCUAUGGCACCUGCUGUCUCUAACUCUGAAAGCUCAGCUAUGAAAAGCCAACUGAAAUGUACUCCUGUGGCUCUGACCUGUUGCACCCUUUACAACCACUGUGAUAAUUAUUAUUUGACCCUGCUGGUCAUCUAUGAACGUUUGAACAUCUUGGCCAUGUACUGUUAUAAUCUCCACCCGGCACAGCCAGAAGAGGACUGGCCACCCCUCAGAGUCUGGUUCCUCUCUUGGUUUCUUCCUAGGUUUCUGCAUUUCUAGGAAGUUUUUCCUAGCCACGUGCUUCUACAUCUGCAUUGCUUGCUGGGGUUUGGGGUUUUAGGCUGGGUAUCUGUAUAGCCCUUUGUGAUGUAACAAGGGCUUUAUAAAUAACAUUUGAUUGAUUGAUUUGGUAAGAUACCAAGUCCAUAUUAUGGCAAGAACAACUCAAAUAAGCAAACAGAAACGACAGUUCAUCAUUACGUUAAGACAUGAAGGUCAGGCAAUACGGAACAUUUCAAGAACUUUGAAUGUUUCUUCAAGUGCUGUCGCAAAAACCAUCAAGCUCUAUGAUGAAACUGGCUCUCAUGAGGCCCGCCACAGGAAAGGAAGACAGAGUUACCUCUGCUGCAGUGGAUAAUUUCAUUAGAGUUACCAGCCUCAGAAAUUGCUGCCCAAAUAAAUGCUUCAGUAGAUGUUCAAGUAACAGACACAUCUCAACAUCAACUGUUCAGAGGAGACUGCAAGAAUCAGGCCUUCAUGGUCAAAUUGCUGCAAAGAAACUACGACUAAAGGACACCAAUAAGAAGAAGAGACUUGCUUUGGCCAAGAACCAAGAGCAAUAGACAUUAGAUGGUGGAAAUCUAUCCUUUGGUCUGAUGAGUACAAAUUUGAGAUUUUUAGUUCCAACCUCUGUCUUUGUGAGACGCGGAGUAGGUGAACGGAUGAUCUCUGCAUGUGUGGUUCCCACGUAAAGCAUGGAGGAGGAGGUGUGAUGAUUUGUGGGUGCUUUGCUGGUGACACUGUCAGUGAUUUAUUUCAAAUUCAAGGCACACUUAACCAGCAUGGCUACCACAGGAUUCUUCAGCGAUACGCCAACCCAUCUGGUUUGCGCUUAGUGGGACUAUUAUUUGAUUUUCAACAGGACAAUGACCCAACGUUGUCCUGUUGGUGUGCUGCGUCAGAUGACCUGGCCUCCACAAUCACCCGACCUCAACCCAAUUGAGAUGGUUUGGGAUGAGUUGGACCGCAGAGUGAAGGAAAAGCAGCCAACAAGUGCUCAGCAUAUGUGGGAACUUCAAGACUGUUGGAAAAGCAUUACAGGUGAAGAUGGUUGAGAGAAUGCCAAGAGUGUGCAAAGCUAUCAUCAAGGCAAAGGGUGGCUACUUUCAAUAAUCUCAAAUAUAAAAUAUAUUUGGAUUUGUUUAACACUAUUGGUUACUACAUGAAUCCAUAUGUGUUAUUUCAUAGUUGUGAUGUUCUGACAAUUAUUCUACAAUGUAGAAAAUAGAAAAAAUAAAGAAAAAACUUUGAAUGAG
Oncorhynchus keta (chum salmon) is the source of this 1818-nucleotide long non-coding RNA. RefSeq lists it as uncharacterized. The record is from RefSeq and is a predicted model, not a curated record. The transcript is spliced from 2 exons. NCBI's taxonomy places the organism in Eukaryota, Metazoa, Chordata, Actinopteri, Salmoniformes, Salmonidae.